AUUGAACGCUGGCGGCAUGCCUUACACAUGCAAGUCGAACGGCAGCACGGGUGCUUGCACCUGGUGGCGAGUGGCGAACGGGGUGAGUAAUACAUCGGAACGUACCUUAUCGUGGGGGAUAACGCAGCGAAAGCUGUGCUAAUACCGCAUACGCCCUGAGGGGGAAAGCGGGGGAUCGAAAGACCUCGCGCGAUUAGAGCGGCCGAUGCCUGAUUAGCUUGUUGGUGGGUAAAGGCCACCAAGGCGACGAUCAGUAGCUGGUCUGAGAGGACGAUCAGCCACACUGGGACUGAGACACGGCCCAGACUCCUACGGGAGGCAGCAGUGGGGAAUUUUGGACAAUGGGGGAAACCCUGAUCCAGCAAUGCCGCGUGAGUGAAGAAGGCCUCGG
RNAcentral lists this ribosomal RNA (391 nucleotides) under uncultured bacterium. RNAcentral describes it as "bacterial SSU rRNA". It matches the Rfam family "Bacterial small subunit ribosomal RNA", at positions 29 to 420 of the family's 1533-position model. The record is from RNAcentral.